UAAUAAGUGUUUUAUGGCACUUUUUAAAUCCAUAUCCACCUUGUGUGCAAUGUCAGUCGAUCUUCUUUCAUGGAGAUCGACCAAACAUCAACCUUAUCUUUUAACUCUUCGUAGGAUCGACAAACAUCACUUUCUAUGAACUUUCUGAAACUAUAUAUUCAAAAAUA
Molecule: unclassified non-coding RNA, 167 nt
Filed under: soil metagenome
Description: partial internal transcribed spacer 1
Source: RNAcentral